AAGUCGUAACAAGGUUUCCGUAGGUGAACCUGCGGAAGGAUCAUUAACACGAACUAUCCACUAUCCCAACCAAACGUGAACUUUUCCCCUCCCUAUUGCUUGACUGCAGUACAAGCUGCGGGUCUUGCAGUAGGCUAAACUGUUUUCUACAAGUACAACCCCAUACAAACUACAACUAUGGUCUUGACUUUAACCGGUCAUUACCACUUCAACCAAUCGAACAUGACUGGUCCACGUUGACUCGGUCUGUUCUGUUCUAUACAUGAACUGAAAAGAGAAAAUACAACUCUUAACAAUGGAUAUCUUGGUUCUC
This 313-nucleotide unclassified non-coding RNA is filed under the name fungal sp. RNAcentral's name for it is "partial internal transcribed spacer region". The stretch from base 1 to 46 matches the Rfam family "Eukaryotic small subunit ribosomal RNA", at positions 1786 to 1831 of the family's 1831-position model. Lineage: Eukaryota; Fungi. The record is from RNAcentral.